AAGCCAAAGCGAAGGCUUUGAAGGCCAAGAAGGCAGUGCUGAAAGCCAUCCACAGCCACACACAAAAAGGAACAUCCACAUGUCACCCACCUUCCUGCGGCCAGACACUGCACCUCCCGAAGACAGCCCAGAUAUCCUCAGACAAGCACCUCCAGGAGGAGCAGGCCUGACCACUGUGCCAUCAUCAAAUUCCCGCAGACCACUGAGUCAGCCAUGAAGAAGAGAGAAGACAACACACUUGUGUACAUUGUGGAUGUUAAAGCCAACAAGCGUCAGAUCAAGCAGGCUGCGAGAAAGCUCACUAAUACUAGUGUGGUCAAAGUCCACACCCCGAUCAGGCUGAUGGAGAGAAGAAGGCGUAUGUUUACCUGGAUCCUAAUUACAAUGCUUUGGGUAUUGUCAGCAAAAUUGGGAUAAUCUA
Molecule: long non-coding RNA, 421 nt
Filed under: Homo sapiens (human)
Lineage: Eukaryota; Metazoa; Chordata; Mammalia; Primates; Hominidae
Description: non-protein coding lnc-EXO1-5:1
Source: RNAcentral